This 77-nucleotide transfer RNA is filed under the name Culex quinquefasciatus (southern house mosquito). Its description in RNAcentral is "tRNA-Thr". It matches the Rfam family "tRNA". From Rfam's summary of the family: Transfer RNA (tRNA) molecules are approximately 80 nucleotides in length. Lineage: Eukaryota; Metazoa; Arthropoda; Insecta; Diptera; Culicidae. The record is from RNAcentral.
GGAGCAGUGCGUGGCCGAAUGGUUACGCUGUCCACUUUGUAAGCGGAUGAUUCUGGGUUCGAUUCCCAUCUGCUCCA